Molecule: ribosomal RNA, 1082 nt
Filed under: Enterococcus faecium
Lineage: Bacteria; Bacillati; Bacillota; Bacilli; Lactobacillales; Enterococcaceae
Description: bacterial LSU rRNA
Rfam family: Bacterial large subunit ribosomal RNA
Source: RNAcentral
GUUGAUAAGGUUAAGUGAAUAAGGGCGCACGGUGGAUGCCUUGGCACUAGGAGCCGAUGAAGGACGGGACUAACACCGAUAUGCUUUGGGGAGCUGUACGUAAGCUAUGAUCCAGAGAUUUCCGAAUGGGGGAACCCAACAUCUUUAAUAGGAUGUUACGAUUGUGUGAAUACAUAGCACAUUCGAGGUAGACGCAGAGAACUGAAACAUCUAAGUACCUGCAGGAAGAGAAAGAAAAUUCGAUUCCCUGAGUAGCGGCGAGCGAAACGGGAAAAGCCCAAACCAGCAAGCUUGCUUGUUGGGGUUGUAGGACUCCAAUAUGGUAGUUCUUUCAGAUAGUCGAAUGACUUGGAAAAGUCAGUCAAAGAGGGUAAAAACCCCGUAGACGAAAUGUGGAAGACACCUAGGAGGAUCCUGAGUACGGCGGAACACGAGAAAUUCCGUCGGAAUCCGGGAGGACCAUCUCCCAAGGCUAAAUACUCCCUAGUGACCGAUAGUGAACCAGUACCGUGAGGGAAAGGUGAAAAGCACCCCGGAAGGGGAGUGAAAUAGAACCUGAAACCGUGUGCCUACAACAAGUCAAAGCCCGUUAAUGGGUGAUGGCGUGCCUUUUGUAGAAUGAACCGGCGAGUUACGAUUGCAUGCGAGGUUAAGUUGAAGAGACGGAGCCGCAGCGAAAGCGAGUCUGAAUAGGGCGUUUGAGUAUGUAGUCGUAGACCCGAAACCAUGUGAUCUACCCAUGUCCAGGUUGAAGGUGCGGUAAAACGCACUGGAGGACCGAACCCACGUACGUUGAAAAGUGCGGGGAUGAGGUGUGGGUAGCGGAGAAAUUCCAAACGAACUUGGAGAUAGCUGGUUCUCUCCGAAAUAGCUUUAGGGCUAGCCUCGGAAUUGAGAAUGAUGGAGGUAGAGCACUGUUUGGACUAGGGGCCCAUCUCGGGUUACCGAAUUCAGAUAAACUCCGAAUGCCAUUCAUUCAUAUCCGGGAGUCAGACUGUGAGUGAUAAGAUCCAUAGUCGAAAGGGAAACAGCCCAGACCACCAGCUAAGGUCCCAAAAUAUAUGUUAAGUGGAAAAGGAUGU